GAUGAACGCUAGCGGCAGGCUUAAUACAUGCAAGUCGAGGGGCAGCAGGACUGUAGCAAUCCAGUUGCUGGCGACCGGCAAACGGGUGCGGAACACGUACGCAACCUACCCAAAACUGGGGGAUAGCCCGGGGAAACCCGGAUUAAUACCUCGUAACCUUUUUAAGUGGCAUCACUUGAUAAGUAUAGCUCCGGCGGUUUUGGAUGGGCGUGCGCCUGAUUAGGUAGUUGGUGCGGGUAACGGCCCACCAAGCCUGCGAUCAGUAACUGGUGUGAGAGAACGACCAGUCACACGGGCACUGAGACACGGGCCCGACUCCUACGGGAGGCAGCAGUAAGGAAUAUUGGUCAAUGGACGCAAGUCUGAACCAGCCAUGCCGCGUGAAGGAUGAAGGUCCUCUGGAUUGUAAACUUCUUUUAUGGGGGACGAAACCCGGAUAUUCUUAUCCGAUUGACGGUACCUCAGGAAUAAGCACCGGCUAACUCCGUG
This 489-nucleotide ribosomal RNA is filed under the name uncultured bacterium. RNAcentral's name for it is "partial 16S ribosomal RNA". It matches the Rfam family "Bacterial small subunit ribosomal RNA", at positions 28 to 507 of the family's 1533-position model. The record is from RNAcentral.